RNAcentral lists this ribosomal RNA (950 nucleotides) under uncultured archaeon. Its description in RNAcentral is "partial 16S rRNA". It matches the Rfam family "Archaeal small subunit ribosomal RNA", at positions 1 to 941 of the family's 1478-position model. The record is from RNAcentral.
UUCCGGUUGAUCCUGCCGGACCCGACUGCUAUUUGGGUGAGAAUAAGCCAUGCGAGUUGAAUGGGAUACCUAAAGUUCCCAUAGCAAACUGCUCAGUAACACAUGAUCAACUUACCCUAUAGAGAAAAAUAACCUCGGGAAACUGAGGAUAAUGUUUCAUAAUUGAAUUGGCUUGGAAAAGUUUUUCAAUGAAAAGGAUAAAAAAAAUGGUUUUUAUCUGCUAUAGGAUAGGAUCGUGUUCGAUUAUGGUUGUUGGUGAAAUAAUGGCUCACCAAGCCGAUAAUCGAUAGGGGCCGUGAGAGCGGGAGCCCCGAGAUGGGUACUGAGACAACGACCCAGGCCUUACGAGGCGCAGCAGGCGCGGAACCUCCGCAAUACACGAAAGUGUGACGGGGUUACCCAAAGUGUUCAAUAGAACUGUGGUAGGUGAGUAAUGUUCCCUACUAGAAAGGAGAGGGCAAGGCUGGUGCCAGCCGCCGCGGUAAAACCAGCUCUUCAAGUGGUCGGGAUAAUUAUUGGGCUUAAAGUGUCCGUAGCCGGUUUAGUAAGUUCCUGGUAAAAUCGGGUAGCUUAACUAUCUGCAUGCUAGGAAUACUGCUAUACUAGAGGGCGGGAGAGGUCUGAGGUACUACAGGGGUAGGGGUGAAAUCUUAUAAUCCUUGUAGGACCACCAGUGGCGAAGGCGUCAGACUGGAACGCGCCUGACGGUGAGGGACGAAAGCCAGGGGAGCGAACCGGAUUAGAUACCCGGGUAGUCCUGGCCGUAAACGAUGCAUACUAUGUGAUGGUACGGCCAUGAGCCGUAUCAGUGCCGUAGGGAAACCGUUAAGUGUGCCGCCUGGGAAGUACGGUCGCAAGGCUAAAACUUAAAGGAAUUGGCGGGGGAGCACCACAAGGGGUGAAGCCUGCGGUUCAAUUGGAUUCAACGCCGGAAAUCACUAGUGCGGCCG